This 103-nucleotide microRNA precursor is filed under the name Marmota monax (woodchuck). Lineage: Eukaryota; Metazoa; Chordata; Mammalia; Rodentia; Sciuridae. The record is from RNAcentral.
AGAGGAAUUGCUAGGUUAUAUGGUAACUCUGUUUUUACUUUUUUGAGGAAUUGCCCUACUGUUCUCCAUAGUCACUUCACCAGUUUACAUUCCUAUCAACAGU